UAUUAAUAAUAGAAAUAAAAUAAAAUAUAUGAGCAAUUACGUAUUUUAUAGGAGACUUACAAUAAGACACGAUGCACGGAUAUGGCAAAUGCCUUCACAAUUUUUUCAAAUAUUUCUAAACCAUUUUGUGCAUAAUCGAAUAAACAAUCUCAUGAUUUAAUGGCAUACUUCCAUCUAUAUUGAAUUAGAUGAGAUUCAGGAUCUCUCCGAAUUAAAAACUUGAAAAUUAACAAACAUCGUUGUGGAUAAAAUGUUUAAAAUAUAAAUGAUAUUGUUACAUUAAUA
Long non-coding RNA from Centruroides sculpturatus (bark scorpion), 285 nucleotides. RefSeq lists it as uncharacterized. The transcript is spliced from 3 exons. The record is from RefSeq and is a predicted model, not a curated record. NCBI's taxonomy places the organism in Eukaryota, Metazoa, Arthropoda, Arachnida, Scorpiones, Buthidae.